UGAUGAAGUACAGAUCACAAUGGGUUCACUC
RNAcentral lists this non-coding RNA (31 nucleotides) under Mus musculus (house mouse). The record is from RNAcentral. Lineage: Eukaryota; Metazoa; Chordata; Mammalia; Rodentia; Muridae.